GCAAGUAUAGUUCAACCCAAACAUUAGACUGUGACUCUAAAAAUAGAAGUUAGACCCUUCUUACCUGCC
This 69-nucleotide transfer RNA is filed under the name Dendrocopos major (great rufous woodcreeper). Its description in RNAcentral is "Xiphocolaptes major (great rufous woodcreeper) tRNA-His". It matches the Rfam family "tRNA". Rfam says of the family: Transfer RNA (tRNA) molecules are approximately 80 nucleotides in length. Their secondary structure includes four short double-helical elements and three loops (D, anti-codon, and T loops). Further hydrogen bonds mediate the characteristic L-shaped molecular structure. tRNAs have two regions of fundamental functional importance: the anti-codon, which is responsible for specific mRNA codon recognition, and the 3' end, to which the tRNAs corresponding amino acid is attached (by aminoacyl-tRNA synthetases). tRNAs cope with the degeneracy of the genetic code in two manners: having more than one tRNA (with a specific anti-codon) for a particular amino acid; and 'wobble' base-pairing, i.e. permitting non-standard base-pairing at the 3rd anti-codon position. Lineage: Eukaryota; Metazoa; Chordata; Aves; Piciformes; Picidae. The record is from RNAcentral.